This 221-nucleotide long non-coding RNA is filed under the name Elaeis guineensis (African oil palm). RNAcentral describes it as "long non-coding RNA (EGUI_LNC056522)". The record is from RNAcentral. Lineage: Eukaryota; Viridiplantae; Streptophyta; Magnoliopsida; Arecales; Arecaceae.
GCCAUACCUCCUCUCCUUGUGCAUGUAAUAUUCCAUGGAAAAACUCUUCUUUCCAUGUGAAAUUUGGGUGCAAAAGGUCUUGGUGUUGGUGGUACAAAAAAUCUAGAGUUCAAGGUGGAUAGGACUCUUAUCUCCUAACCAUAAUCAAACUCUCUCCUAUUUAAACAAGGGACCAAGAGAGGGGCGGCAACAAACCAGAUAGAGAUCAGGUUUCGAUACCC